RNAcentral lists this ribosomal RNA (459 nucleotides) under uncultured bacterium. RNAcentral's name for it is "partial 16S ribosomal RNA". It matches the Rfam family "Bacterial small subunit ribosomal RNA", at positions 338 to 795 of the family's 1533-position model. The record is from RNAcentral.
CCUACGGGGGGCAGCAGUGAGGAAUAUUGGUCAAUGGGCGGGAGCCUGAACCAGCCAAGUCGCGUGAAGGAAGAAGGUACUUAGUAUUGUAAACUUCUUUUGUCGGGGAACAAAGGCGGAGACGCGUCUCAGGAUGAGUGUACCCGAAGAAAAAGCAGCGGCUAACACCGUGCCAGCAGCCGCGGUAAUACGGAGGAUGCUAGCGUUGUCAGGAUAUAUUGGGUUUAAAGGGUGCGUAGGCGGAUCGUUAAGUCAGUGGUCAAAUUGAGGGGCUCAACCCCUUCCCGCCAUUGAAACUGGCGUUCUUGAGUGGAAGAGAAGUAUGCGGAAUGCGUGGUGUAGCGGUGAAAUGCAUAGAUAUCACGCAGAACCCUGAUUGCGAAGGCAGCAUGCCGGCUUCCGACUGACGCUGAAGCACGAAAGCGUGGGGAUCGAACAGGAUUAGAUACCCCAGUAGUC